This 517-nucleotide ribosomal RNA is filed under the name uncultured bacterium. Its description in RNAcentral is "bacterial SSU rRNA". It matches the Rfam family "Bacterial small subunit ribosomal RNA", at positions 8 to 518 of the family's 1533-position model. The record is from RNAcentral.
AGAGUUGAUCAUGGCUCAGGAUGAACGCAGCGACAGGCUUAACACAUGCAAGUCGAGGGCAGCAUAAAAGUAGCAAUACGUUGGUGGCGACCGGCGCACGGGUGAGUAACGCGUAUGCAACCUACCUAUCAGGAGGGGAAUAACCCGGCGAAAGUCGGACUAAUACCGCAUAAAACAGGGGCACCACAUGGUGAUAUUUGUUAAAGAAAUUCGCUGAUAGAUGGGCAUGCGUUCCAUUAGGUAGUUGGUGAGGUAACGGCUCACCAAGCCGACGAUGGAUAGGGGAACUGAGAGGUUGGUCCCCCACACUGGUACUGAGACACGGACCAGACUCCUACGGGAGGCAGCAGUGAGGAAUAUUGGUCAAUGGGCGAGAGCCUGAACCAGCCAAGUCGCCGUGAAGGAAGAAGGAUCUAUGGUUCGUAAACUUCUUUUGCAGGGGAAUAAAGUGCAGGACGUGUCCUGUUUUGUAUGUACCCUGAGAAUAAGGAUCGGCUAACUCCGUGCCAGCCGCCGC